AUUGAACGCUGGCGGCAUGCCUUACACAUGCAAGUCGAACGGCAGCACGGGAGCAAUCCUGGUGGCGAGUGGCGAACGGGUGAGUAAUAUAUCGGAACGUGCCCGGUCGUGGGGAUAACGUAGCGAAAGCUACGCUAAUACCGCAUACGAUCUAUGGAUGAAAGCGGGGGAUCGCAAGACCUCGCGCGAUUGGAGCGGCCGAUAUCAGAUUAGGUAGUUGGUGAGGUAAAGGCUCACCAAGUCGACGAUCUGUAGCUGGUCUGAGAGGACGACCAGCCACACUGGGACUGAGACACGGCCCAGACUCCUACGGGAGGCAGCAGUGGGGAAUUUUGGACAAUGGGCGCAAGCCUGAUCCAGCAAUGCCGCGUGCAGGAUGAAGGCCUCGGUGUAAC
RNAcentral lists this ribosomal RNA (395 nucleotides) under uncultured bacterium. Its description in RNAcentral is "bacterial SSU rRNA". It matches the Rfam family "Bacterial small subunit ribosomal RNA", at positions 30 to 429 of the family's 1533-position model. The record is from RNAcentral.